Gallus gallus (chicken) is the source of this 4134-nucleotide long non-coding RNA. Lineage: Eukaryota; Metazoa; Chordata; Aves; Galliformes; Phasianidae. The record is from Ensembl.
GAGGUGGAUGUUGGUGGGAUGGCAGUAGAGGCUGAAUCUUCCUACCAAUGUCCCAUUACAUUUUGUUGCAGUGUGACAGAUGAAAGCAGAGAGGCGGUCUGACACAAUGGUGUCUGACAUGGAAGUGCAUAUGAAGAAAAGUGGUACAAUUGAAUUUCUCUGUGCAGAAAAAGUGGUGCCCAUUGACAUUCAUUGAAACAUGCAGAACGUUUAUGGAGACCAGAAAAUGAAUGUGACCACAGUGAGGUGGUAGCAGGUGAACUUCCACGGUGGUGGAACUCCUAGAUCCACAACAGUGUAUCAUUUGUGCUGGUGCAGAUUUUUACAAGUGAGACAAGUGGACUCUUGUUCAUUGCUAGUGAAAAUGCAUAACUGAUAGUGGUGUCUGCAUUACUUUUGGAGCAACCUAUGUAUGUUCAGUCAUUAGGUACUGCUGAUACUUUUAAUGAGAGACUAAAUAGUAAAAGAAGCUUAGCAUAGUAUAGGAUCUUUGACAUAAACAUUUGUAGUGGUUUGACUCUGCAGGUGGCUCAGUACCACACAGUCAUUCACUCACUCUCUGCCUUCCCAGUGGAACACUGGAGAGAAUUGGAAAAACAAAAGUAGAACUUGUGAGUUGAGAUAUAACUAUUUGCUAAGAUAGAGGGAAAAAAGAAAAAAAGAAAAAAGAUAAUAGCUAUGACAAUAUAUAUAUACAUAUUUAUGAACGUAUAUAACAAGUGAUGCACAAGCAAUUGCUUACCACCUUCCAGCUGAUGCCCAGCUAGCCCCUUGAGCAGCAAAAGAGAGCACGAUGAACUCCCACUCCCUUCAAAACUCUUUCUACAUGAUGUCAUAUGAUAUAGAAUAUCUGUUUGGCCAGUUUAAAUCAGCUAUCCAAAUUCUGUUCUCUCCCAGCUCCUUAGGCCUCUUGCUUCAAACGGCCUUGGCUCUGUGCAUCACUGCUUAGCCACAACUAUAAACAUCAGUGUGUUAUCAACACUGUUUUUCUCCUAGAACCAAAAGAUAUCAUCAUACCAGACACUCUGAAGAAAACAAUUCAGAUCCAGCUGAAACUAAGACAAAGUUGCAUUAAAAAGUUGUGUGUAUCCUCUAAGGGAAACAUCUGUUCUGAAUAACAGUGAGGGUAGAAACUGUUUCUGCAGUCAUAGAAGAUUGCCAUUCCAUCCCAGACAAACAUGCAAAGGAAACAACUUUUCUCCCGUUCCUGGGAAGGAGGGCAGUAUGAAGCUGGGGCAAAACAGAGCUAGACACCAAGCAGUUAUGGCAAGUGUAAUAAUGAACGGAGCCAAUGGUAGUGGCAACUAUUACACAGUUAUCAUGGGGGAAUCCCAGACCCCAAUGAGCAUGUAUGGUACCAUGAAGACACCUGAACUUCUGUGGUUACUGGGGUCAAUUGAUUUUUAACAAGUUCUAUUGUAUUGCUUUAUGGUUUGAUCAACAGCUAGGUUUUAUUGGAAAAGGACCAUUUGAAAAGCCAUACCUACUGAACAGAUGAAACAAGCUACUUGGUCUAUAGUGUCAAGCAGUUUGAUGCACCAGACUUAGUCGAUUUCCUUGUGGGUGAUCACUGAGCAAUGUGGUCUCUGAAGGUGAGGAAGCUGAUCAGCUCAUUCACACAGCACCAGUCUCAUGAUUACUCAGUCCCACAUAGAAAGCAGAAGACGAAAACAAACAAACAGCGACAAAAUGUGCCUACCAGGACAAAAUGCAUGUCUCUUCUGUGCUAGCUACCUAAGUAAGUGUGGUAGGGUGCAUGCCAAGGAAGAAGACUGUGUUUGCAGAGGGCAUAGGAAAACUCAGCAGCAACAAAAAGGAGAAACAGCUGAAUUGCAUCUGUAUAUUCCGCCCUCUGCCAUUUCAAAUGCUUCUUUCUUCACAGUGAAGGGGAGGACUGUGCAGAGCCUUCCAUGCUGAGCUGCUAAAUGAAUUUUUCUUCAUGAAGGCUGGGGGGGAAAUGAGGCUGCCAGUGACUCCCAUCUUCAACUAUUGGAGUGUAAUUGUGCCCAGGGCCAGGCAGCUGCUGCUUCCUGCCCCGAAAUGGAAAGGCAGCAGUGCUUGUAUUUUUAAGGAGGAUUUUGACUGAAGCAAAAUAAAGCAGUGGCAAAACAUACAAACAGAGCUUAAUGAGAAGGCUCUUGAUUCUUUUCUUCAUAUUGGAAGGAAAAAGAAAAGCUCAGAGACAGACAGCAGUCACAGCUGAAUCUUGUAGGAAAAAAAGAUUUCAUGGGGCUGGAGGAGCUUGGACAGCUGGGGACAAGAAGGUUAAAAAAUAAAAAAGUCAGCAAACCUGGCACUAAUUACUAAUAAUUAAAAGCUAGGACCAGGAGAAAGCUCAUAUCCCAUUUCUUCUUUGUGUAAUAUAUGGGGACUCCUUGCCCUCUGAAGUUUGCCCAUAUACUGCCAUGAGGAUGCUACCCUUGUCUGUACUGAGCAGGGUAGUGUUCUCCAUGGGCAAAUAUCCAUCCCCAAAAGUGCCACACAGCCCAGUAAUGCUCUGUUUUAACUACUCUUAGAAAACACACAGAUUUCUCUGCUGUGUCACAGUGUGCCAUGUGUCCACACUGCAGAGGCCUUGAGGAACCCUGGGAAUACAGUUGUUAUAUCUUGUCCAGUAUUUUCUUCAUUCUGUGGCUCAUCUGUCCUGUUCGUUUGCCUCUCACCUGGCUGUCACUGCCCUACCCUGCUCUCUCCAGUUCUUCAGUAGCACAACCAGUGAAGCAAUCCUGAGGCAACAGCAAAUUGUUUUAUAACACUGACCCUAAAAUGGGAGUGUCCUGUGUGCCCCGAGAGGCAAAAUGCCAUGGAGAUCUUCAUGAUGUGAUACAGUAAGCAGAUAAUCCAAUUUCAGCUUCAAAUCAUGGUCCAUUCAAAAAGAGAUUCACAUUCUUUUAUCAAGAAUCUCAAAAUGGGAGGGUUUCUCAUAGGUUUCCCUUUAAUGCAUGCCAUACGUUUGCCCUGAGCAGGGAAGCUAGCACCCCUAAAAAAUCUAAAAAGGGAGAGGCAUUAGCCACGCAGAAAAGUAUAUUUUUCUCCAUUAUCUAUGGUUUAUAUUUAUUCCUGACAAAGUGAUCUGGCUUGAGAAGAUGUUGCCCAACAUCAUCUAAUGCAACUGAGAGCUGAUGAGAGUAGAACAGCAACAAAUGUUCUUGCUAGUUCUCACAAACUUGGGAUAAAUUAUCAAAAAAAAAGGCUUGUUCUAAAUAUUAAUAUCACUAGAAGUCCCUAUGCCUAUGAAAAAAAUAUGUGGAAGUAGUUCUGAUAAUGUUGAAAGUAAGAUUAUUCCUGACCAGGAACUCUGCACGAGGAAAAAUAAGAAGAAAGAAAAAAAAAGAGGUCUGCAUAGCAUUACCAUAGAGAAGCCUUGUCAAGAGAAUGUUUUCCUUUGCUUUUCCAUUUUAGUGUUAGAGAUGUGUGUCUUGAACUGCUAAUUCUACCACCCAGCAAAAUAGAGAAAACUUCAGGUGCUGGGAGAUUGAAACACACUUCAUUCCUUUGAUGGACAUAAUUUACUGUAUCUCUAAGUGCAUCUUGGCUCCUUCUCAUAGGUUAUUGGAUACCUUGCAACCCAGGAAGGAGGGCAGGGGAAAACCAACAGCUUAUGUAGCACCUACUUGGAUUUGACCUUUUGGGUCCAAAUCCCUUGCAGAAGGUUAAAUAGAUGCAACUGUUUGGAGUAAAUUCUCUUCCGAAUAUAGCAACUUCCAGCUUUCCCUUCUGCAUGAAUUCUCCAUAUCAACAUUCUCCAGCCGUCUCAAACACACCAGUUGUUCUGCAAGUGGUUUGGCUUUCCAAAUCACUGUCAUGACAUUUACAGAAGAAGCUCCCACAGCUCCUCCAUCAUUUCUUUAUUUUCCUUCUGUGACCUUUUUCCAGUUUGUCUCCUGGAACACCUUUUCCUCCUCCUCUAUUCCUAUUUUUCUCUCCAAAUGGCACUGGUCAUCUCUCUGUGCCUAAUUAUGCUCAAACCACGGCUGUUGUAGAAGCUUUUUCCCCUUGUAUCUCCCACCAUCUGGAACAGAGUCUUUUUUUCUGUUGUUUCUUUCUGCCUCACUGCCUCUCCAUCUACUUUCAAAUCUCAUCUGAAAACAUCUCUGCUCCCAUGCCUGUGCCUCUUAAUUUCUCUCUCCCUCU